This 460-nucleotide ribosomal RNA is filed under the name uncultured bacterium. Its description in RNAcentral is "partial 16S ribosomal RNA". It matches the Rfam family "Bacterial small subunit ribosomal RNA", at positions 338 to 795 of the family's 1533-position model. The record is from RNAcentral.
CCUACGGGGGGCAGCAGUGAGGAAUAUUGGUUAAUGGACGAGAGUCUGAACCAGCCAAGUAGCGUGAAGGAUGACUGCCCUAUGGGUUGUAAACUUCUUUUAUAUGGGAAUAAAAUGUUCCACGUGUGGGAUUUUGUAUGUACCAUAUGAAUAAGGAUCGGCUAACUCCGUGCCAGCAGCCGCGGUAAUACGGAGGAUCCGAGCGUUAUCCGGAUUUAUUGGGUUUAAAGGGAGCGUAGGUGGAUUGUUAAGUCAGUUGUGAAAGUUUGCGGCUCAACCGUAAAAUUGCAGUUGAAACUGGCAGUCUUGAGUACAGUAGAGGUGGGCGGAAUUCGUGGUGUAGCGGUGAAAUGCUUAGAUAUCACGAAGAACUCCGAUUGCGAAGGCAGUUCACUGGACUGCAACUGACACUGAGGCUCGAAAGUGUGGGUAUCAAACAGGAUUAGAUACCCCAGUAGUC